AUUUUCUACAUUCGGGGCAACCCUGAUCAAGACAUCCCGCAUGUGCGAUGCAGGCNUUNNGGUUGNANAGCACUUAUGGCAGGNNNNNAAAGGCUCUGGCUAAUACCUGGAGCUGCUGACGGUACCUGCAGAAUAAGCACCGGCUAACUACGUGCCAGCAGCCGCGGUAAUACGUAGGGUGUAAGCGUUAAUCGGAAUUACUGGGCGUAAAUCAUGCGCAGGCGGUUCGGCAAGAAGGAUGUGAUAACCCAGGGCUUAACCUUGGAACUGCAAUCUUAACUGCCGGGCUAGAGUAUGUCAGAGGGGGGUAGAAUUUCGCGUGUAGCAGUGAAAUGCGUAGAGAUGCGGAGGAAUACCGAUGGCGAAGGCAGACCCCUGGGAUAAUACUGACGCUCAUGCACGAAAGCGUGGGGAGCAAAC
This 420-nucleotide ribosomal RNA is filed under the name uncultured bacterium. Its description in RNAcentral is "partial 16S ribosomal RNA". It matches the Rfam family "Bacterial small subunit ribosomal RNA", at positions 361 to 773 of the family's 1533-position model. The record is from RNAcentral.